This is a long non-coding RNA of Sinocyclocheilus grahami, 621 nucleotides long. RefSeq lists it as uncharacterized. The record is from RefSeq and is a predicted model, not a curated record. NCBI's taxonomy places the organism in Eukaryota, Metazoa, Chordata, Actinopteri, Cypriniformes, Cyprinidae. The transcript has 3 exons.
ACCGGUCUUCACGCAUUGUUUUCGCCCUCCGAAACGCGUUUUUUACAGAAAUGAUCGAGAAUGGUCACCAGCAGAUCUCAGUCAGUACAAAGUUUGUCUCUAAUGGUGUUAAGUGUCUUUUAAAGUCAUUUUAAGCAAACGGUGCAUGAAUUCUGUCAGUGCAGAAAUCAAUUCGGACAUUCGGACAAUCCAGCUCCACUUUCCAUCUUAUUUUUUACACUCAGAUUUUAUUCAACCCUUUCUUAACUCAUCGAUAUGAAGAUAUUAAUGGUUUUAUUAUUAUUAUUACUACACAUACACGGUGCGUCUGGUGCUGACACAGAUGCAAUAGAAUCAGUAUCAGUGAUGGAGGGAGAUUCUGUCACUUUACAUACUGGUGAAACACAGACAGAAGAUCUGAAAGUGUGGACCUUUGGACCUGAAAAUACUGUCAUAGCUAUGAACUCUGAUGUUAAGAUAUCUAGAGACAGAUUUCUGGUGAACCAAUCAACUGGAUCGCUUACCAUCAAGAACAUCACAACUAAUUUUUCUGGAAUAUAUAAAUUAAAUGUUGUCAGGAAGAGCACAUACAAGACAUUUAAUGUUACUGUCUAUGCUCGUCUGUCUGUUCCUGUCAUCAGC